RNAcentral lists this ribosomal RNA (468 nucleotides) under uncultured bacterium. Its description in RNAcentral is "partial 16S ribosomal RNA". It matches the Rfam family "Bacterial small subunit ribosomal RNA", at positions 28 to 507 of the family's 1533-position model. The record is from RNAcentral.
GACGAACGCUGGCGGCGUGCUUAACACGUGCAAGUCGAACGGAAAGGCCCUGCUUUUGUGGGGUGCUCGAGUGGCGAACGGGUGAGUAACACGUGAGUAACCUGCCCUUGACUUUGGGAUAACUUCAGGAAACUGGGGCUAAUACCGGAUAGGAGCUCCUGCUGCAUGGUGGGGGUUGGAAAGUUUCGGCGGUUGGGGAUGGACUCGCGGCUUAUCAGCUUGUUGGUGGGGUAGUGGCUUACCAAGGCUUGGACGGGUAGCCGGCCUGAGAGGGUGACCGGCCACAUGGGGACUGAGAUACGGCCCAGACUCCUACGGGAGGCAGCAGUGGGGAAUAUUGCACAAUGGGCGGAAGCCUGAUGCAGCAACGCCGCGUGCGGGAUGACGGCCUUCGGGUGGUGAACCGCUUUCGCCUGUGACGAAGCGGGAGUGACGGUAAUGGGUAAAGAAGCACCGGCUAACUACGUG